AGUGAACGCUGGCGGCGUGCUUAAUACAUGCAAGUCGAACGAUGAAGUCCUAGCUUGCUAGGAUGGAUUAGUGGCGCACGGGUGAGUAAUAUAUAGUUAAUCUGCCUUGCACUGAGGAACAACAGUUGGAAACGAUUGCUAAUACCUCAUACUCCAACUUUACAUAAGUUAAGUUGGGAAAGUCUUUUCGGUGCAAGAUGAGACUAUAUCGUAUCAGCUAGUUGGUAAGGUAAUGGCUUACCAAGGCUAUGACGCGUAACUGGUCUGAGAGGAUGAUCAGUCACAUUGGAACUGAGACACGGUCCAAACUCCUACGGGAGGCAGCAGUAAGGAAUAUUGUGCAAUGGGGGAAACCCUGACGCAGCAACGCCGCGUGGAGGAUGACACUUUUCGGAGCGUGAACUCCUUUUGUUAGGGAAGAAUAAUGACGGUACCUAACGAAUAAGCACCGGCUAACUCCGU
This 462-nucleotide ribosomal RNA is filed under the name uncultured bacterium. RNAcentral's name for it is "partial 16S ribosomal RNA". It matches the Rfam family "Bacterial small subunit ribosomal RNA", at positions 29 to 506 of the family's 1533-position model. The record is from RNAcentral.